This 761-nucleotide ribosomal RNA is filed under the name uncultured bacterium. RNAcentral describes it as "bacterial SSU rRNA". It matches the Rfam family "Bacterial small subunit ribosomal RNA", at positions 29 to 780 of the family's 1533-position model. The record is from RNAcentral.
AUGAACGCUAGCGGCAGGCUUAACACAUGCAAGUCGAGGGGUAACAGGUUAGUAGCAAUACUGAUGCUGACGACCGGCGCACGGGUGCGUAACGCGUAUGCAACCUACCUUAUACAGGGGGAUAACCUUUCGAAAGGGAGACUAACACCGCAUAACAUUGUUUUCAGGCAUCUGGGAAUAAUUAAAUGAGCGAUCAGGUAUAAGAUGGGCAUGCGUAGCAUUAGUUAGAUGGCGAGGUAACGGCUCACCAUGGCGAUGAUGCUUAGGGGUUCUGAGAGGAAGGUCCCCCACACCGGUACUGAGAUACGGACCGGACUCCUACGGGAGGCAGCAGUGAGGAAUAUUGGUCAAUGGUCGGAAGACUGAACCAGCCAUGCCGCGUGCAGGAAGGAGGUCCUAUGGAUUGUAAACUGCUUUUUUCGGGGAAUAAUAAGACUUUUGCGAAGGUUGAUGCAGGUACCCGAAGAAUAAGGAUCGGCUAACUCCGUGCCAGCAGCCGCGGUAAUACGGAGGAUCCGAGCGUUAUCCGGAUUUAUUGGGUUUAAAGGGUGCGUAGGCGGUUAGAUAAGUUUGAGGUUAAAUGCUUCUGCUCAACAGGAGUUUGCCUUGAAAACUGUCUGACUAGGAUGUAAACGGCGCAGGCGGAAUGAAUCAUGUAGCGGUGACAUGCAUAGAUAUGAUUCAGAACACCGAUCGCGAAGGCAGCUUGCGAGGAUACGAUUGACGCUGAAGCACGAAAGCGUGGGUAUCGAACAGGAUUA